Molecule: unclassified non-coding RNA, 249 nt
Filed under: Hevea brasiliensis (rubber tree)
Lineage: Eukaryota; Viridiplantae; Streptophyta; Magnoliopsida; Malpighiales; Euphorbiaceae
Source: RNAcentral
GAUCUCCCAAGUGAGCCAUCUUGCAUAUAACACAAACAACCAGAAAGCAUUAAUGUUUUCAUUCUAGAGCCUGACUCAACCCUAAAUCCUCUCAAGUUUAACUCUAAAUCUUCUUCAACUUUAACCCUAAAUACUCAACUGUAACUUUAAUUUAGAAGUAUUUUAUUUUCCUGUUUCACUAUACAUCAUAGAGUCAAACAUGGGAAGUAUAUACAUUACCUACAUUAGAAUAAAUAACAUAGAUUUAAG